UAGAGUUUGAUCCUGGCUCAGAUUGAACGCUGGCGGCGUGCUUAACACAUGCAAGUCGAUCGGUAACGCGGGGGCAACCCUGGCGACGAGGGGCGGACGGGUGAGGAACGCUUGGGAAUCUGCCCUUCAGCGGGGGACAACCCGGGGAAACUCGGGCUAAUACCGCAUACGCUCCACGGAGGAAAGCCGGGGACCGCAAGGCCUGGCACUGAAGGAUGAGCCCAAGCCGGAUUAGCUAGUUGGUGGGGUAACGGCCCACCAAGGCGACGAUCCGCAGCUGGUCUGAGAGGACGAUCAGCCACACCGGAACUGAGACACGGUCCGGACUCCUACGGGAGGCAGCAGUGGGGAAUAUUGGACAAUGGGGGAAACCCUGAUCCAGCGACGCCGCGUGGGUGAAGAAGGCCUGCGGGUUGUAAAGCCCUUUCGGUAGGGACGAAAGCUCUUGCCUCAAUACGGCAGGAGGUUGACUUAACCUACAUAAGAAGCACCGGCUAACUCUGUA
This 505-nucleotide ribosomal RNA is filed under the name uncultured bacterium. RNAcentral describes it as "bacterial SSU rRNA". It matches the Rfam family "Bacterial small subunit ribosomal RNA", at positions 1 to 507 of the family's 1533-position model. The record is from RNAcentral.